This 1192-nucleotide long non-coding RNA is filed under the name Salmo salar (Atlantic salmon). RNAcentral describes it as "lncRNA (ENSSSAG00000101564.1)". Lineage: Eukaryota; Metazoa; Chordata; Actinopteri; Salmoniformes; Salmonidae. The record is from RNAcentral.
GGAGGUAUCAGAACCCGGGUUGUCUUCUGGAGGUAUCAGAACCCAGGUUGUCUUCUGGAGGUAUCAGAACACGGGUUGUCUUCUGGAGGUAUCAGAACCCAGGUUGUCUUCUGGAGGUAUCAGAACCCAGGUUGUCUUCUGGAGGUAUCAGAACACGGGUUGUCUUCUGGAGGUAUCAGAACCCAGGUUGGUUGUCUUCUGGAGGUAUCAGAACCCAGGUUGGUUGUCUUCUGGAGGUAUCAGAACCCAGGUUGGUUGUCUUCUGGAGGUAUCAGGCCUCAGGUUGGUUGUGUUCUGGGGCCAUCAGGCCUCAGGUUGGUUGUCUUCUGGAGGUAUCAGGCCUCAGGUUGUCUUCUGGAGGUAUCAGGCCUCAGGUUGUCUUCUGGAGGUAUCAGGCCUCAGGUUGUCUUCUGGAGGUAUCAGGCCUCAGGUUUUCUUCUGGAGGCAUCAGGCCUCAGGUUGGUUGUCUUCUGGAGGUAUCAGGCCUCAGGUUGGUUGUCUUCUGGAGGUAUCAGGCCUCAGCUUGGUUGUCUUCUGGAAGUAUCAGGCCUCCGGUUGGUUGUCUUCUGGAGGUACAUAUCAGGCCUCAGGUUGUCUUCUGGAAGUAUCAGGCCUCAGAUUGUCUUCUGGAGGUACAGUAUCAGGCCUCAGGUUGUCUUCUGGAAGUAUCAGGCCUCAGGUUGGUUGUCUUCUGGAGGUAUCAGGCCUCAGGUUGGUUGUCUUCUGGAGGUAUCAGGCCUCAGGUUGUCUUCUGGAGGUACAGUAUCAGGCCUCAGGUUGGUUGUCUUCUGGAAGUAUCAGGCCUCAGGUUGGUUGUCUUCUGGAGGUAUCAGGCCUCAGCUUGGUUGUCUUCUGGAAGUAUCAGGCCUCAGGUUGGUUGUCUUCUGGAGGUACAGUAUCAGGCCUCAGGGCAAAGUGAUAUGGGAUACCUGACAGAAUGACAAAUUGAGGAAAGAUCAGAGGCUUGUCACUAAGACCACAUUAAACACACAUGGAACUCCAAAAUAUGUUUUCACAGUAACGUGUAGGCUCCUCCUGUUUUCUGUUGAAGCCAGUUGCUCAGUUUCAGGUCACAGCCAAUGUCAGUGACAGGUGAGCAACAUUUGAGCUUGUUUGAUCUACAGUGUAUUGGCAUAUGUGUUUGGGGGGUUAUAGCAAGCAGAUGAUUGAUAGUUGUCGUUGUAGUGUGUGG